Molecule: ribosomal RNA, 485 nt
Filed under: uncultured bacterium
Lineage: Bacteria
Description: partial 16S ribosomal RNA
Rfam family: Bacterial small subunit ribosomal RNA
Source: RNAcentral
UUGCACGCUGGCGGCAUGCCUUACACAUGCAAGUCGAACGGCAGCACGGGUGCUUGCACCUGGUGGCGAGUGGCGAACGGGUGAGUAAUACAUCGGAACAUGUCCUGUAGUGGGGGAUAGCCCGGCGAAAGCCGGAUUAAUACCGCAUACGAUCUACGGAUGAAAGCGGGGGACCUUCGGGCCUCGCGCUAUAGGGUUGGCCGAUGGCUGAUUAGCUAGUUGGUGGGGUAAAGGCCUACCAAGGCGGCGAUCAGUAGCUGGUCUGAGAGGACGACCAGCCACACUGGGACUGAGACACGGCCCAGACUCCUACGGGAGGCAGCAGUGGGGAAUUUUGGACAAUGGGCGAAAGCCUGAUCCAGCAAUGCCGCGUGUGUGAAGAAGGCCUUCGGGUUGUAAAGCACUUUUGUCCGGAAAGAAAUCCUUGGCCCUAAUACGGUCGGGGGAUGACGGUACCGGAAGAAUAAGCACCGGCUAACUACGUG